UGGGGAUGAGCCCAGCAACAGCUUCCUGUGCGGGAUUCAGCAAGAGUCCCCAGCCCUGACAGGGUGCCUGCAUGUGCCAGAGGCUCUGGGCUCUAGUGGGUGAACAGGACCGUCGAGAGCCCUAGCCCCGUGGACAUUAGGGGCUGCACACUGAGAAGGAAACUAAAAUGCCCCGCCGGCCCCUCCUGACUUCCAGAGCUCUGAGCAAGGGUCCCUUUGCCAGUGUGGAACCGCAGCCUGUCGUGGGUUCACCGGCCAUGUCGCUGAAGGUCUGUCUGUCACUAGCAGAUGCAGAGUCACGAGAUUCGAUUUAUACGUCACCAAAGUAAAAACCUUCAAGACACACCAUUACAGAAAUUAACGGACAAGCCACAGACUAGAAGAACUCAUUUGCGAAUCAUGUAUCCGAGAAAGGACUGAAUACAGAAAGAGGCCUUAAGACUUAAUAAUAAGGAGGCAAGUAACUCAAUUAAAAACUUAAGUUUAAGGGGCGCCCGGGGGGCUCAGUUGGUUGAGCCUCUGACUCUUGAUUUCAGCUCAGGUCAUGAUCCCAGGGUCGU
Leopardus geoffroyi (Geoffroy's cat) is the source of this 560-nucleotide long non-coding RNA. RefSeq lists it as uncharacterized. The record is from RefSeq and is a predicted model, not a curated record. The transcript is spliced from 3 exons. Lineage: Eukaryota; Metazoa; Chordata; Mammalia; Carnivora; Felidae.